UGAAUCAAUGAUGAGUAACCUGGGGUGUUUGAAUCAAGGACUUUGACUAAAUCCUGUAACUCUGAGAUCCAU
Heterocephalus glaber (naked mole-rat) is the source of this 72-nucleotide small nucleolar RNA. Ensembl annotates it as small nucleolar RNA, C/D box 113-9. The record is from Ensembl. Lineage: Eukaryota; Metazoa; Chordata; Mammalia; Rodentia; Bathyergidae.